Molecule: ribosomal RNA, 700 nt
Filed under: uncultured phototrophic eukaryote
Lineage: Eukaryota
Description: bacterial SSU rRNA
Rfam family: Bacterial small subunit ribosomal RNA
Source: RNAcentral
UGCAAGUCGAACGAGAGUUUUUAACUCUAGUGGCGGACGGGUGAGUAACGCGUGAGAAUCUGCUCUAAGGAGGGGAAUAACAGCUGGAAACGGUUGCUAAUACCCCAUAUGCCGAGAGGUGAAAGGAUGUAUCCACCUUAGAAAGAGCUCGCGUCUGAUUAGCUAGUUGGUGAGGUAACGGCUCACCAAGGCCAUGAUCAGUAGCUGGUUUGAGAGGACGAUCAGCCACACUGGGACUGAGACACGGCCCAGACUCCUACGGGAGGCAGCAGUGGGGAAUUUUCCGCAAUGGGCGAAAGCCUGACGGAGCGAUACCGCGUGAGGGAUGAAAGCCUGUGGGUUGUAAACCUCUUUUCUCAAGGAAGAAGUUCUGACGGUACUUGAGGAAUAAGCAUCGGCUAACUCUGUGCCAGCAGGCGCGGUAAUACAGAGGAUGCAAGCGUUAUCCGGAAUCACUGGGCAUAAAGCGUCUGUAGGUGGUUUAGUAAGUCUGUUGUUAAAGACUAGGGCUUAACCCUAGGAAAGCAAUGGAAACUACUAGACUUGAGUAUGGUAGAGGUAGAGGGAAUUCCUAGUGUAGCGGUGAAAUGCGUAGAUAUUAGGAAGAACACCAAUGGCGAAAGCACUCUACUGGGCCAUAACUGACACUGAGAGACGACAGCUAGGGGAGCAAAUGGGAUUAGAUACCCCAGUAGUUCUA